AAAAUAGGGGAGGCGCGUUUUUGGGGAAGGCUAUAGGGACGACUUGUCGUCCCCAUAGCUUUCUAUGCCUUAAAUCAAGAGAACAACCUUCUUCGUUUCAUUCCUGCACAUUCAAUCAUCAGUCUCUCUUUCAAGAGAGAGAGAGAGAGAGAGAGAGAGAGAGAGAGCGAUCGAAGAUUCUCCCAUCCUUAAUUUCAGCCAUUAUCUUCUCCUCCAACGAUUUCCUCACCUCCCACUCCCUGUGAAUGUUCUUCCUCUCUCCAUAGAUUAUGAUACUAGUUUCUGAACACAAUCGUGGGCUCAACAAUGACGAUUAGUUUCAAUGCCGAUCUGACUACCGCCUUCCUUUUCACAUCCGGCUAUAAAUUCUAUCGAAUACAAGCUCCACUCCUGCUAUCACGUUAGUAAUUCUCUGUUUAUUGAGGUAAAUGUUAGAAAUUAUGUGUUUGAAAUUGAAAUUGGGAUAUAGGUUAAGGAUGAUGAUGACGACAAACUCAAAUUCGAUAACUAUUUGUUUUCAGUAUUGCUCUGUUGUUUCAACUUUAACUUCUAUUAGUUCCAUUUUGUAGGCUUUUGCAGAUCCGCUCAUUGAUCCACAGUGAAUGUUAAUUCUUACUGUUGCAGCUACUUUGAGAACAAUUGGAUAUGAAAUUGAGGUUUACUCCUUUAAAGAGGGGCAUGUGUAUGUUGUCUGCAUAUUGGAGCUCUUGUGAAUAUUUUGGAAGCUAGUGGGGAUAAAAAAGACUAUAAUUUACUGGCUCAACUAUGAUGUCAUACUUACGAAUUCUUUUCAAGCAAAAGAAGCAAAUUCCAGGCCUUUUGCAGGAACCCUUUAAAUCUUUACCACUUAUCUGAACUAUCCAUGAAAAAACACUUGAUAUCAGGUAAAUUAGUAUGGCAUUGCUUCAAUCUCCUUCAAGAAUUCAAUUCUAUCGAAAGAAGCUAUUUGUGUUAAUUGCCUGAUGGAAUGGAAUACGAAGAAAUAUCACUCCUCCAUUUUGUUAACUUUCAUUUUUAUGGCGGAAUAUUCAUUAUAACCCCGUUAAAUAAUAAACAUUAUACUUAUAGUUAAAUAUAUCUAGAUUUGGUUAUUUUUAUUUAUUUUUACUAGUUUAUGAUUUUUGUCAUUUUAUUGUUAUACUUGCAAAAAUAUAGGUUGUGUCUGCUACUGCAAAUUCAGAUCUCCCUGCAGUAAUUAAGGAAAGAAUUCAUAAUUUCAUAAUAAAACACUAAAAAGUUAGGGUCAGGCCUAGCUGAAUUAAUUGUAGAUGAAGCUGAUUGUAAUAAACUAUUUUCAGGCCUGCCAUUUGGCUAAACAAGCUUUUGAUGAGACAAUUAAUGAGUUGGACUCAUUAAGUGAAGAAUCUUACAAUGACAUCACCAGGUAAAUGGUUAACUUUAUUAUUAUAUCAUUUCGGUUUCAUCUUACUUGCAAAAGUUUCUUCAAUUCAUGAAUUUCUCCCAAUUGUAUGUUUUCAG
This is a non-coding RNA of Lactuca sativa (garden lettuce), 1479 nucleotides long. NCBI's taxonomy places the organism in Eukaryota, Viridiplantae, Streptophyta, Magnoliopsida, Asterales, Asteraceae. The record is from RefSeq and is a predicted model, not a curated record.